UGUGAUGCCAUCCUCCAGGGGAUCUUCCCAACCCAGGGACUGAACCCACAUCUCUUACCAUCUCCUGCAUUGGUAGGUGGGUUAUUUACCACUAGGGCCACCUGGGAAGUCCUUCAACUCUCCUGGAGAUGGGCAUAUUGAUGGAUCCAGUAGGCCAGUGAUUCAUGGAAUCAACCAUGGUUUUAUUAACAGGUUCAUCUGACAGUGGCCAUUGACAUGCAGAACCCAGCGGAAAUAAUCCAGCAGCUGGCAGUCAGCCUGGAGACUUAACCUUGUUCAAGAUUAGAACUUUCUAUUGUUAAAAUAGUUCUUUUCCUCCAGUAUUCAUCCUGUGGUAGAAGAACUGAAGUCUGACCUGAGAGGUGCAGAUUGGCUUGGGAUAAGGGGUCAUCUCUAACUCUGAGGGCUCAGGACAUAGGGAGAUUCAUUAUCACCAACAGCAGGGAAACUCGGCAACUCUGGGGCUUCCCUAGUGGCUCAGUUGGUAAAGAAUCUGCCUGCAAUGCAGGAGACCCAGGUUCAGUUCCUGGGUUGGGAAGAUCCCCUGGAGAAGGGAAUGGCAACCCACUCCAGUAUUCUUGCCUGGUGAAUUCCAUGGACAGAGGAGCCUGGUGGGCUACUGUCCAUGGGGUUGCAAAGAGUCAGACACAACUGAGCAGCUAACACACUUCGGCAACUCUAGUUGAAAGCCUGGGCGUUCCUUUGACUGCCUGUACGCUCCAACCAAGCACUGCUGUGCCCAUUCCUCUAGCUGGGCUGUGAAAUCUGCCACUGGAACUCAGAGGUUGCGGACUGGUGACUGACGGUUGUGUUUUAUUUAGCCCAGUGUUUAAAAAACAACAUCUAAAAACUGAGUGUUUACAUAAAAAUUGAUUCCUGGCUUCUCUUUAAAAAAAGAUCAUGAAGACCUGACAAAUGAGCGCAUGGUAGGAUCCGCUGAAGCUGGGUAGGUUGGAAAGCCUGCCUUUCAGGUCAUCACAAUCUCCAUCAGUUACCGUUUGCCCCUUGCUCUUUAUAGGAGGGAACCAGGUCCCUGUCGUGCUGCUGUAGCAGAAGUGGCAGUACAGCUGAUGGGCCGGGGGUUCAGGUAACCUGCUGGCCUCUCCAAACUCUGGAGCUGGCAACGCUAUUUGAACACACUUUAUCCCCUGAACCUGGUUCAUUUCCUCCCAAAUCCUUGAUUAUUUUCAAGGCGCUGCAGCUACCAUCACCACCCACUUCAGGGUGACAGUGUGCUGUUUCCGUGUGCCUUAUAUGAACAUCACCACGAAUGGGAGACUGGUUUAUGCAUCAGGGGAGGGCCAGCCGGGUCCCCUUGGUGUCAGGGGCCUUGUCCAGCCUGCCUGCCUGACAGCAGGCCCAAUUGCCAGGGCCUGUCUUCCCCUAGACACGCAGGUCACACAUCCUAUAUAGUGCGAUUCUGUGGUCUGAAAUCAUAGUAGAACCACUGUAGAAGAACAUUUGCCUCCUUUAUCCACCGAUGCCUGAGAACCAUUGUUCUGGCGCCUGGCAGGUCAACCUUAUGGGACAGUUUGAGAGGUCACACUGCUCGAAUCUGUUGCCCUGAUACUCUGAAACCUUCAGAGCCAGGUUAAAUAUGGGUGUGGCUCAGUACACAAACUUAACAGAAUGUGGGUGUGACACUUGAAGAUAGGAUGGACAGUGUCCCCAGAUUCAUGUAUGCUGUGUUGUGUUGGGCCCUGUUCUCCAGGGAGUUGUGACCAAGCCACUCCCCAGACCUCCCCUUCCUUCUUCAUGACAGACCUUCUCUGCCACUUCAGGCAGACCAGAGAGUUACAAGGGCAGAUGCCCCACAUGUGCUGCCUCUGGGCUCCAUCCCUCGAUUGUGGCUGGUGGGUGGGCAACCCAGAAACUCUUGCCUGUGUGAGAGUGUGUGUCAGCAGCCCCGGCCUCACCCGUGAUUCAGAAAAAGACAUCAACAAGGCAGAACCCGUGUGAAUCCAUGUCAUGUUCACAUGAAGACAACAGACAAUAUCCAACAUGUUCUAAAACAGCUUCUCAGGAAAGGGCAGGUGGCUCCCCAUGGGCUUGUUCUAAACCAGUCUCCUAAGAGUGAUCGAAACAAGACUACAGAAACCCCCCUGACCCCAAAACAGAACAUCACAACUAUGUAGCAUCUGAAAAUCAAAACAAGACACUGGAUGUUGACUUUAACAUAUAAAAAUACUAUAACAAAAAUGAAAUACAAAUAUAUAUUAGAAUCUGUUAAGUAUUCUGUAUAAAGAGAUACUUUCAUGGUUAGGCUAACAGCAGGCAAAGAGGAGAUAAAGUCCAGCCUUUUCCGUUUCUGACAUCUUCAGGGGGAGCCCAGGCCACUGCCGCCUACAUCGCUGACCAAAAGCAGCAGCACCCACAGGACUGGCCCUGCUUGUGUCUCUUCAGUGGAAUCAGCUGAUGGCAACAUCAGAGUGAACUGGAGGUCUUUACCAAAGGGGUGACAGGCUUGGAAACGAUUUCUCAGGUGAUUUCGCAGCAGCUUUCUCCCAGGACUCAGUGGGCCUAAAUGCAAAUAGGCAAGAUGCGUGGUGGUCCAGCUCCUUAGCAACUUUUGGGUUGGUGGUUCAGUUGAUGAAAAGUUGAUCCUGGGGCACACAGGCCUCUUGGGCCCCCUUGCUGUACUCACUCGAUGAUGGAUCCCAAUCUUCCAGCUCGACAGAGGGUGAGAGUGGAGCUGGGCUGGGUUGUGGGGUGUGGUGGAGGGUUGGAUGGGGACAGCGGCCAGCUCACAGAGUGCUCCCUAACACUCCAUCCUCUGCCCUCCCAACCCCAGGACUGCAGGACUCCUGGCAGCCAGCACCUAUCUGAUGUCCUUUCCACCUUCUGCAGAGUGAAGAGGUCCUGCCUGUCAGUGCCCCUCAAGCCCGGGGAGUGGCUUCUGCAAGUCAGCAGGCAAUGGUGGUGGCUAGGGGAAGUUUCUCUCCUGGAGCCACAGUGGAAGGGUGUACCUUGUUGCUCAGUCAUCCCACCUCCCCAUCAGCUGAGCAGACAGAGGCCAUGGGGAAGAAGUUUGCCUGGAGUGACAGAGCCAGCAGAGGUUUCCUGAUGUCUGAGCCACUGCUCCCAACAGGUCGGCAGCACCAGGAGCUCUGAGCCCAGUUUACACGGGAGGAGACCUCUCCCUGGACCUGCAGCCUGGCCCAAUCCCCCUACACCCCCAAGGACGCCUGCCAAGGGCUAGCCAGCAGCUGAUGGCUGGCUCGUGGCUGGGGAAGCCCAGGACCAAUGCCUCCUUGGUGGCUUAUGUCUGGAGAUGGUGAUGUUUAUUCACCUGAAACCAAGAACCCCUCUGUCCUCUUUGGUGGGGUCCCCACCCUAAACAAUCCCAGCGGUCAUUUUCCUCCACACGAGCACCCUCCUUGAAGUUGUUAAGUCAUUCCAUAACUUUAGGAUUCAGAGGUCUGGUCCUAAGAUCUACAGCCACCCCCAGGCCCGUUCCCAAGCAGGCUGUGGCUUCCAUUCAGCCCCAGGGGCAGAGGUUGGUCCCGUCCUGGCCAGCAGGAGGGCGCCCUUUCCCUCCGCAGCCCGGCCUACCACCCGCAGACGCGCAGCAAAAGCUAAGAGCUAGGCCGGCUGCCCCAGGGGAGGCUGGGAGUACUUCAGGGUUAUCUGUAGUGAGCAAGGGGGCUUCUGGGGCCUGCCCGGGCCACAGGUGAGAGGGGACGUCUGGUUUGGGAAGGGGCAGUCCCUUCCUGAGACCCAGGAAGCAGGCAAAGAGGAGGUGUCACCAUUCUGCACUUCUUGGCCUGACCUCACGCACACAUUCAUUCAACAAAUAUUUAUUAAGCGCCUAUUUGUGCAAGGCACUUCCGGAGAGGGCGGAUUGCAGCCCCGGCCACGCCCACCCGCCCCGCCCCGCCCUGCCCUGCCAGUUGCGGCGCCCUCUGCUUUAGAAAAGAGGUUCUGGCCUGACCCGCCACCGGAAGGCGGGGUGCCUAGGCGUCUCGGUGGUGAUGGCCAGCACCCCGGCCCAGAUGCCGGCCACUCAGUCUCUGCUGCGGCCGCGCCCCCUCUCCCGCCCUCUCCCCUCCCCGUGCAUUCCAGGCGCUACGCGCAGAGGGCACAGCCACACUUGGUGGGCUUCUCCACCUCCUCGGCAAAAGAGGUCCCGUCGCUGCACUCAAAGGUGAACUUCCUUCGCUUCAGCCGCAGGCCCUGGCAGCAGCCCUGGCCCGGACAUGAGCCCCGGCACUCUACCCACGACAGCGGGCGCGUGGUCCGGCAGAUGGCAUAGCCCCUCUGGACCUGGUGAAAGUCCCGGACAGGGUCCCCCCGGCAUUCGGACUCUGGAUGGGACAGACACCAAGAGAAAGCCUCAGGGCACACCCGAGGGCCGGCUCUGCCCUGGGGAGGCAGAAGGAAGAGGAGCAGGAAAAACGAGCAGGAGUCGGGGACAGCAUCCUUGGACACAGCCCUCUAGCUCUCAGACCCCACCUCCAUCCCCGCAUCCUCCCUGCCCUGCAUGCACAUGCACAUGCCUCCUCCUGGGCCCACAGUGAGGUCAGAGGAAAGGAAGAAUAUUCUAGCUGCCAAGAACCUCCAGGACAGAUUGGGCUGUGCCAGUAAGGUGGGCUCAAGAAGUGGCUAGAAGCCUGGGAGGCAAUGAUGUCAGAGAUGGAAUUGGAGCCAGAGAGUCUGGCCUAGGGGACCUGAAAGUGCCUGAGUUCUGGAUUUCUCAGGCUCCUCCCUACCCUCUUCAGUGGAAGCCCCUUGACCAUCUUGGUCAUGUGGGCUAGAAAGGCCUGGGAAGGAGUCCCCAACUCUCAGACCUCCUGCUGCUCUCUAGGUCCCAAGGUGAUGGGCUAAGAUGCUAUUACCCUGGUGGUCUCUUCUGUAAGGAGAGACCCCAGCCAGAAGGGGCACUGAGCCCAGAUAAAGGGGCUGCAACGCAAGCUGGGCCAGGGAGAGAUAGAGCAUUGGUCUGGGAGUGGGGCUCAGAGCCCAGAAGGUUGGGGGCACUACUGUCCACAAGGAGGGGAGGAGGCACAGAGGGGCCGCUGAGGUUGGGAAAAAAAAAAGUCAAGUCGCUAAAGCCAGCUGUUGGGAGGGACCCUGGAGAGGGCAUGUCAGGAGGGGGGCCCCUGACCUUGCUCACACAGCUCGCCCGAAAAGCCGGGGUCACACACACAGUGUGCCCCCUUGGUGGCUGAGGCCUGGCAGUGGCCAUGCAGGCACCGCAGGCCCCCACAGGGGUCUGCAGGUGCCCCAGCCUGGUUGCACAGGGCCCCUGAGUACCCAUCCUGGCACUGGCAGCUGUAGGAAAGAGCAUCCAGAGGCACGCACUUCCCGUGGACACACCUGGGGGGACAGAGAAGAGGCGCUGUGAGGACAGGCCGCAGCCAAUCCAAGCCCGCCCGAGGGGAGCCCUCCCCACGCCCCCACCAGCCCUGCAGCCCUGGGCUUCAUGGGAUGUUAUUCUGUUCCCAAAACUGAAACAAAGGGAGCAAAAUGUCCUUCUGUGUUUGUCCCUAGGGUCCUUUGCCUGUUAAUAAAAACUGAAAACCAAGAAAAAUUAAUAAAACCCUGUGUUAGGC
Molecule: long non-coding RNA, 5552 nt
Organism: Bubalus bubalis (water buffalo)
Lineage: Eukaryota; Metazoa; Chordata; Mammalia; Artiodactyla; Bovidae
Exons: 2
Source: RefSeq, a predicted model, not a curated record